AACCAUAGUCCCGCGUUGGGAAAAAUCUAAUAGGUAAGAGGAAUAGUAUGGCUAUCUCUUUUGAGAUCCCAUAUGAUGUCCUUGCUAUUGCUGCUUAACUUAUCUACCAAUUUCCCAACACUUUCAGCGCUCGAGAGGCAGAGUCUCAAGGAACCCAAGACGUAAUUGAUUUAGUUUCCUGUCUAUUUAUUUAGGUGGGAGGUCCUUUGGUUAUUUACUUCUCCUCUACGGGCUUCGUGCUCGUGGGGUUUUGAGUCGUUUUUGGCCAUCGGAUUUGAAUUGAUUAUUGUUUUCGAGGUUGUUGCCAUUACGUAUAUGGAUGAGACAGAAGUAGCCCCGCUGACGGGUCACCAAUUGUUAGAUCAAGUAGGACGCAUGAUCUUGAAUUCUCCUUUUGUGGAAAAUUGAGAGGUUUCAAAAUCUAGGAUUUAUCCCAUUUUUUGUUUUCACUCUUUUGGAAUCUUUAGGAUUGAGUUCGAUCGUCUUUGUUGUCGUUCUACAGCGGUAUAUUCCUGAACACUAUGUAGACCCUUGCUGGUCGAUGAUCAUUUGGGUAAAACCAUACUGCAUACAUUC
Molecule: small nucleolar RNA, 576 nt
Rfam family: Small nucleolar RNA snR30
Source: Rfam